UGCCCCGUUGGGCUAUCUUCCUCCUCCGCCUCCUAUGCCCUCCCGCCUAUGUCUUCCAUCGAGGGAGUUGAGGAAUCGCGUUGGACUGGUGGCACUGCAGGUCACACUCCAGGCCCUAAUCGAGUUCAUCUCCCAUCCUUGAAGGACACGAUUGAGGCCAUCACAGAUUUUGUCUCUUGACGCAAUCAAUUCUCUCAGAAUCUUGGGAAAAAAAAUUCCUUUAUCGCCAUCUCUCUGCAAUUCUGGAUGGUCCCGUGGUCGGGAAGGAGCAGCCAAUGUCUCGAGUUCAACCUGUGGACUGUGGAAGAUGCCGGCGUAGAUCCAAUCACAAGCGCAUAUCUUUUGCUGCAACUGUGCAAGUCAUGGAUACAAGCUCGCGGCCUUCUCAACUACCAUCAGAAUUUCCAUAAUAUAUUAUACUCCCAUAACAAUGACGUGAGGGCGCAAGGAAUCAGGCCAUCUGGACGGAGAUGUUAGUGAAAGCUAAAGGCUUCCGGCAUCUCGCCGAAACAACUGCCGAGCAUCCAGUAAAGGAGGCUGAAACAACUUCCAAGCACCUUAUUAUAUGUACCUUCAAAAUCUAAUGUACGUAUGGAUUACCUACUCCUUUAAUUACUUUGUCUUCUGCUUGCAAGCUUAAUGCGCUUUGAAAUUUUACCCCCUAUGUGACUUAAAAACUUUGGAAAAAGUUCGAUUUGCUAUCUUCA
Long non-coding RNA from Triticum aestivum (bread wheat), 707 nucleotides. RefSeq lists it as uncharacterized. The transcript has 2 exons. NCBI's taxonomy places the organism in Eukaryota, Viridiplantae, Streptophyta, Magnoliopsida, Poales, Poaceae. The record is from RefSeq and is a predicted model, not a curated record.